UUUCAAUAUAUCGCUUUAAACCAAUCUCACUCAUGAAUAGAAAUGUGAAACUCCUAAAAAUAUAUAUUAGGAAACGGAACUUAAUGAAAAAUUUAAAGACCCAGGCAUUACUACCAGCUAGGAUUUUUUCCUAAGAUAACUUUCUAUGAGAAAUACUAAGAGACUACUUGCAUUUAGUACUAUAUAUAAACUGACCGCUAAUAAAUGCCAGACAUCUCUGAGCUACAGUUGCUCUCUUGAUAUCUCAGAUUUUGAAAUCUGGAUGUGCUCCCAAAUCUUCUCUUCCCCUAAAGUUCCCUCCUACUAGUAAAUGGCAGCUUCUU
RNAcentral lists this long non-coding RNA (323 nucleotides) under Homo sapiens (human). Its description in RNAcentral is "non-protein coding lnc-PIGC-3:1". Lineage: Eukaryota; Metazoa; Chordata; Mammalia; Primates; Hominidae. The record is from RNAcentral.